Molecule: ribosomal RNA, 468 nt
Filed under: uncultured bacterium
Lineage: Bacteria
Description: partial 16S ribosomal RNA
Rfam family: Bacterial small subunit ribosomal RNA
Source: RNAcentral
GACGAACGCUGGCGGCGUGCUUAACACAUGCAAGUCGAACGGAAAGGCCCUGCUUUUGUGGGGUGCUCGAGUGGCGAACGGGUGAGUAACACGUGAGUAACCUGCCCUUGACUUUGGGAUAACUUCAGGAAACUUGGGCUAAUACCGGAUCGGAGCUCCUGCUGCAUGGUGGGGGUUGGAAAGUUUCGGCGGUUGGGGCUGGACUCGCGGCUUAUCAGCUUGUGGGUGGGGUAGUGGCUUACCAAGGCUUUGACGGGUAGCCGGCCUGAGAGGGUGACCGGCCACAUUGGGACUGAGAGACGGACCAGACUGCUAUGGGAGGCAGCAGUGGGGAAUAUUGCCCAAUGGGCGGAAGCCUGAUGCAGCAACGCCGCGUGCGGGAUGACGGCCUUCGGGUUGUAAACCGCUUUCGCCUGUGACGAAGCGUGAGUGACGGUAAUGGAUAAAGAAGCACCGGCUAACUACGUG